CAGCUUUUCCUUUCUUUGCGGUGCCAGGAACAAUCUUCACACUAUACUUGUAUGACUGCAUGCCAGUAAAGCCAUCCGAAUGCUUCUCUCUUCCUCAUCUUGAUUCGCAUAUUUCUCCUUCAUCUUCUUAAGUUUGCCCUUCUGCCCACGCCUGAUUUUUCCACUUCCAGCCUCACUAUUUUGGACACUCUUUUCAGAUUGACUGAUAGGAACACCACUUUCUUUUGAUUCUUC
This 234-nucleotide unclassified non-coding RNA is filed under the name Hevea brasiliensis (rubber tree). The record is from RNAcentral. Lineage: Eukaryota; Viridiplantae; Streptophyta; Magnoliopsida; Malpighiales; Euphorbiaceae.